RNAcentral lists this ribosomal RNA (539 nucleotides) under Yamadazyma membranifaciens. RNAcentral describes it as "eukaryotic LSU rRNA". It matches the Rfam family "Eukaryotic large subunit ribosomal RNA", at positions 67 to 644 of the family's 3401-position model. Lineage: Eukaryota; Fungi; Ascomycota; Pichiomycetes; Serinales; Debaryomycetaceae. The record is from RNAcentral.
AACAGGGAUUGCCUUAGUAGCGGCGAGUGAAGCGGCAAUAGCUCAAAUUUGAAAUCUGGCACCUUCGGUGUCCGAGUUGUAAUUUGAAGAAGGUAUCUUUGGUUUUGGCUCUUGUCUAUGUUCCUUGGAACAGGACGUCACAGAGGGUGAGAAUCCCGUGCGAUGAGAUGCCCAAUUCCAUGUAAAGUUCCUUCGACGAGUCGAGUUGUUUGGGAAUGCAGCUCUAAGUGGGUGGUAAAUUCCAUCUAAAGCUAAAUAUUGGCGAGAGACCGAUAGCGAACAAGUACUGUGAAGGAAAGAUGAAAAGAACUUUGAAAAGAGAGUGAAAAAGUACGUGAAAUUGUUGAAAGGGAAGGGCUUGAGAUUAGACUUGGAAUUUUCCAUUUAUGGAGCUUUCCGGGCCAGCAUCAGUUUGGAUGGCAGGAUAAUUGCGUUGGAAAGUAGCACCACUUCGGUGGUGUGUUAUAGACUUCGUCGAUACUGCCUAUCUAGACUGAGGACCGCGUCUUUGACUAGGAUGCUGGCGUAAUGAUCUUAAG